RNAcentral lists this ribosomal RNA (440 nucleotides) under uncultured bacterium. RNAcentral's name for it is "bacterial SSU rRNA". It matches the Rfam family "Bacterial small subunit ribosomal RNA", at positions 338 to 795 of the family's 1533-position model. The record is from RNAcentral.
CCUACGGGAUGCAGCAGUGGGGAAUAUUGGACAAUGGGCGCAAGCCUGAUCCAGCCAUGCCGCGUGAGUGAUGAAGGCCCUAGGGUUGUAAAGCUCUUUCACCGGUGAAGAUAAUGACGGUAACCGGAGAAGAAGCCCCGGCUAACUUCGUGCCAGCAGCCGCGGUAAUACGAAGGGGGCUAGCGUUGUUCGGAAUUACUGGGCGUAAAGCGCACGUAGGCGGGUAUUUAAGUCAGGGGUGAAAUCCCAGAGCUCAACUCUGGAACUGCCUUUGAUACUGGGUACCUAGAGUAUGGAAGAGGUGAGUGGAAUUCCGAGUGUAGAGGUGAAAUUCGUAGAUAUUCGGAGGAACACCAGUGGCGAAGGCGGCUCACUGGUCCAUUACUGACGCUGAGGUGCGAAAGCGUGGGGAGCAAACAGGAUUAGAUACCCCAGUAGUC